UCUUCUCGGCACCCGAGCUCUCUCCCUGCGCUGUGCCCGGGGAGGCUCCGCGGCCGCAGCCGCCUUCCCCUCUCGCCAGCAGAGGGCGCCGGAGAGCUGGGGCGCUUGCACCACCUGCGGGCCCCCUUCAAACUUGGGCACACAACAUCAGAGCUGAAAAUACCUUGGGGGAUCAUUGAAGACACCUAGGUCCUGGAGUCGUGGUCAUCAGGAAAAUCACCUGGCACUUCAUGAGAGACACGGAAGAUGUGCGAACCACGGGACCAUCCACCAGCUAGUUCAUGACAUCUUGUUUACCAUAACACUAAAAAGAAAGGGACUCCAAUAGUGUUUUAAGGUUGUUGCGAUGUCCUCUUCAGUCCUUGUCAAAGAGAAAUUCAUGACAGAAGUGCGAACCACAAAGCGAAGAAAGUCGUGGCCCAAAAACAAGUAAGAAAAGUAGGAAGUUAAAUGAGGAGUGACCAACUUUAAUCGGUUCUGUAGCUCCAGGCUUCAAGGAGAAGGAACCCACAGGUGUGCCCAUUGGCCAGGUAAAUAGAUGUUUUGAGUUAUAUACUAGUCUGAUCUGGUGAGAAAUAUACAUGUAGCACCUACACACUGUCAUUUUAGUGGUGGUGACAUCCGAAUUCCUCUGUUGAACGUUUUGUGUCCCUCGGGGGCUUUGACAGUCACAGUCUUAUCUGAGCCUCACAACGACAUCCCUAUGCACCUUGCUUGUCACUUUAUCCAGGAAGGCUUUCUUCCCACCAAGCAUUCACAGGAAUGGCGAACAGGAAGAACCCUUAGCAGUAAAGUCCAGUGAUGCUGCUUGUUCACAGACACAAGCAUUUUCAGCUUGUUCAGGGGCCACUGGCGCAUCCUGCAGAACUUGACAAUAACUUUCCCAGGAUCACUACCUGGAUUCAAACCCAGGUAGCAGUUUGUAGGUGAGAGGUCCCAGUUAGCAUUGUUAAACCAUGCUUUCUGGUCUGUACCCUGGGAAGUUGCAGGACUGUGUCUUUAGAGGUAUUACGACUAAGUGAGUCACGUAAAACAUCUCUUGACUAUUCUCUGGACAUUAACUCCUCAUCUUUUAGCGCAAGUUAUUCAUCGCACAGACAGAUUUUUUUUUUUUACCUUUUCAGGGUUUUUCUUUUAAGUUUCUAGACAGAUAGGAGCCUAUGUACAAGUUAUUAGGGUUCUCCUUUGUUUUCAGAAUUAUUUGUUUAUUUUAUGUAUUUUAUGAGUUCACUGUAGCCGUCUUCAGACACACCAGAAGAGGGCAUCAGAUCCCAUUACAGAUGGUUGUGAGCCACCAUGUGAUUGCUGGGAAUUGAACUCAGGACCUCUAGAAGAUCAGUCAGUGCUCUUAACCACUGAGCCAUCUCUCCAGCCCCAUUAUUUGGGUUCUUGAGGCUAGACCUUGAUGCACACAUGAAAAAUGAACCCAUCCUGAGCUUAUGACACACUGGAUCAGCUCAAACUGGGCCACAGAGGUGUUGGAUACCGUCCUGGAAGGAAGAGAGCCAAGCUGCAGGUAGGGGUUACAUUUUGAUUUUUCUUACCAAUGCCUCUUUUAUAUUUCCACUACAGCGUCACAGAUGUCAUCCUACAAGCAGUAGACUGUGAUGUAGGAGAAUAGUCAUCGGCUGUCUUCGAUGGCACUUUCUAAGCCAUCUGUAAGGUAAGCUGCUUUUCAAGGAAGGCAAUGAACGCCAAGAAGACAAAGGCAGGUGGUGCACGCACAUAACCUCUGACCUUGGGAAGCUAAGGCAGAAGGCUAGAGAGUUUGAGGUCAGCCUGGGCUAUAUAGUCAGUUCCAGAGUAGCCUGGGCUACCCGCAGAGUGAAACUCUUGUCUCAAAUAUAGAAAUCAGAACAAUAACAACAAUAAACAAAGAAAGGGCCAAAGGAGAAUGUAUGUCACCUGUAUGUGCUAAGCUAGUGUCAGAGCCUGUGCUGAUACCAGCUCUUGGCCCCUCCACUCGGCAUCUGUGAGGGCGAGGGCCUUGAGAAGAUGCCAGCCAAGCACACAGGCCAUCCACAUUGGCCUGGGGAAGAAUGUCAUGGUACGUAGUCAGAACAUUUCUUCAAGAGCUGUAGCUAAGACCGUUCAAACACUGUUCCCCUGCAGGCCUGAAACUUGUCUGGCUUGGUGUGCUGGGCUCGGGGAAGGGAGCAUAGGGACAGCCAUAUAUGAAUAGCAAUCUGUGAAAAGUAGACCUGUCCCACCAAAGUCAAGCCUGCCUUUGUGCAGACUGCUGUCUGCCUGGAGGUUUUCAGGACUGAGUUUGCUAAUGGCAGGAAGCUCAGGAGUUCUAGGUUUUUGCUCCUCAGAUGCAUACUCUUCCUACACAACUGCACAACUCAGGCUUGUCCCGCUGAUCUGCCCCAAACAGCUGGCAUGAGAGAACUUGCCCAUAGUCUCUUACCCAGGAGUGUAGUGGAGAUUAAUGGUAGGGACCUCACAUACCUUGGAGAAAACUGUGUGCUUGCUUCUUUUAGUACACAUUUGGCAGUGUUUCCAUACAGACCUGUCAACUGCCCUGAAAUAAACCAGAGAGGGAAGAGUUAUACAAUUUACCAUAUCCUAAGGGGGCUGGGCCGUGAGGGAGCUUGACACUGUGUCGGUUCAGGAGGAACAGGUAUCUUAGCAGCAAGGCUGAAAGUGUCCUGGGAGUCAGUGAGGUAAUUGGCUGUAGAAUAAAGAGGCCUGUGCUCUAAACAUGGGGGCAGGGAGGGAAAAGGAAAGCUAGGCAGAGCACACUCUUUGAAUGGAAGCCGUGGUAGUCAGUUUUUAAGAAUUCCAACAUCUAAUGAGAGCAAAACUAACAUAGAAUUAGAAGUGGAGAGUUGCUAAUGAAGAUCCGUUCCUACAAAGGAUGGAUCACCGCUGUUGGAUAGACGUGUGAACAGUGUGUGCAUACUCUAUAUGUGCAUUCUCCAGAGCCCCUCAGAGAAGCUCAGGCAAGGAAAAAUCAGGACUGAAAAAUGAAGCUGGACAGAUUCUGACCAGUGGACUGUUAGUGCAGAGGUCCCUGCACUGCACCAGAUCAAAACUCAGCUCGUGGACCCUAAAAAGUCAAGUCAGGAUUUUUACAUGAUUAGUUAUAAAAGUCAAGGAAAGGAAACACUUAGAAAUUUGAUUUUUCAUGAAAAUGAGGCCGGGAGGUGGUGGCACGUGCCUGUAAUCCCAGCACUUGGGAGGCAGGCUCUGUGAGAGUCAAGGCUAGCAUGUUUUACAGAAUGAGUUCUAGGUCAGUUAGGACUGUCACACAGAGAAACCCUAUCUCAAAAAAACCAAUAGAUAGAAAGUCUAUUCUAUUUGGGUAGGUGGGUGGGUGGAUGGAUGGAUGGAUGGAUAGACAGACAGACAGACGACAGGGCUGAAGAGAAAAUGACAUGGCUCUUGAGAUAAAGGCAUUUGCUCUUCAAGCCUGGAGAUCUGAGUUUGUUCCCCAGAACCCACGUAAAGGUGCAAAGAGAGAACCCACUCCACAAAGUUGUCUACUGACCCCCACCCACACAGAGACAUGGUAAUAAUAAAUAAAUUUUAAUUUAAAAAUAAUGGAACACACACACACUGGUCUCCCUGAACUGUAGUAAGAAGAAUGAGCUAGCUCUAAGGUAGAGGCUCUUUCACAGCAACAAGACAGAAUUCAAGGAAGUAAAAUGUUAAGCUCACCACGUACUUCGAGCUAUUGGCAUAGGAUGAGGUGUCCCUAGACUAAGCCCAUUGCCCUAAGAGCUAUCUUUCAGUUUCAGUUUUGAUUGACAUGCAGCCAGGUCUGCUUAGAGAAUUGGGGUCACGCCUUAAAAGUGUGAAAGUGUUCCUGUCUGUGCGCCAUUGUGACGGAUUGCUCGGGGCAAGAACAUCCAGAACACACUUAAUACUGAAGCUCUGGUCUCGGGUGUGUUCAUUCUCUCUGCACUAAGCCAGCCUUGGUUUAAACUUGCCCGGGGCUCUGAAAGUUUACUGAAGCCCGAAGCCUGGAAUCUUCUCCAAAAACAGGAAAUAGGUGCCAGCUUCCUCUGUCCAUGAUAGAACCAAUUUGUGGCCAAAUAUGAAGUAAAAUGUUAAAAAGAUGAAUUAGGCCUCUAGAAAAAAACAUUAAUUUGUAAACAUCAAAUAAACAAACAAAUGAAUAAAUAAAUAAAUAAAUAAAAAGAGAAAGCAAUCAUGCCUUGGUUUUCAGAAUAUUAAAAACAGUGUGUUGAUACUUGUUCUUGAAUGUAUCCAUUCACAUGCACACACACACACACACACACACACACACACACACACAUACAUGUAUACACACAUGCGCAUAUACUCCGUACAGUCUCAGGUCUAGUAGCCCAAAGCUGCUUCCACAGGAAGAUCUCCUUGAAGAUGAAGGAGUCGACAGUCUCUCUGGCCUGUUGGAGCUAUAAGGUCAGGUCUAGGAGUUUGGGCUCGAGAAGUAUGUUCUCACUACUCCAGACUGUAACUCUUUUCUCCACUAAUAUUGGGUACAGGAUGCAUAGGGUGAGGGUGAACCUUCUAUCUUGCUGUCACCAUAAGUAUAAACAAGGAGCCAAGAGUAGAGACAUGCAGUGAAGUCCGCGAGUUUCUAGAAACCAGCAUUAGCAUCAACCAGGAUCUGCUAUGCUAAGACUAACACCACCGUUCCCUUCUUACAGCGUUGACCUCCUUCAUGUUCUUUCAAUAAUGAAAGAAAGGAUUUAACACUUAUCGAGCCCUACGAGAUUCUUGAAGUAUCAAAUCAAUUGGCUUGGUAAUAAGAACACUGACAAAGUUUCCUUAUCGGAGGGGUUGAGAGAGUAUUAGUAGACUGCUUGCCCAGUGUGCAUGAAGUCUCAGGUUUAAUCCUUCACACUGCAGAAACCAACCACUGUUGCCCACAUCUGAAAUCCACACAUGAGCAAGGCAGGAGGAGCAGGCAUUCGAGGUCAUCCUUGGCUAUAAGACAAGUUCAAGGCCAGCCUGGACUCCACGAGAACCUAUUUCAAACUAAACAACACAAAACUUUUCUGAUGUGAGCCAACAUAUUCAUCCCCCCUCCCCCUACCACCACCAUGUUUCCAGAGAUUGAACCCAGGACCUUGCUCAUGUAGACAAGCAUUUUACCACAGAGCUACAUUACUAGUCCACCAAGACAUCUGUGGUAGACUAAGUAUAACUACAGGAGUUGGAGAGGUAGCUCAGCCUUUAAGAGCGAUUGCUGUUCACUCGUGAGGACCAGAGUUUCAAACACAAGCACAAGUGGCUCACAAGCACCUAUAACCCCGAGGAACCUUAUGUCCUCUUGUGGUCUCCACAGGAAACCAUACACACGUGUGACUAUACAUUCACUCUGAAAUAUAGGUAUAUAGUAUUAAUUUUAUAUAUGUAUACUACAGUAUGCAUAGUUACUGCAAAGUAAAAUACUGUUUCCUCCCGGAUAUGGAAUUAUUACUUCCUUUGAAAAAAACAAACAAGAGUGCUUAGAAAACUGGCAUGGUGGAUGGGAAGACUUGCCCUACAACUCAGAUCAGCACAGGCUUAAAUUUUAGUUCUGCGUCCUACUCUGUGCUGCCCUGAUCACCUUGAUUAAGCUUCCGGGGCUUGGUUUAUCCACAAAUACAAAUCCGCUGUCCAGCUCAGCAUUGUUGAAAAGACUAAAGAGGGUGCAUAUUAAUCCCGUGAUACCGGAGUUUAUAGUAAAACCUAAUCUUUAUCAUGUUUUCAGCCCACCUGUUGCACGUAAUCUCUUCCCACAGGAAUUUGCUCUGGCAAAUAUAUGGCUUUGGACAGGGCGUCUCUGUCACAGCACUGCCUAAUCUGAGUAGCAGAAUUGACACUGAUGUCAUUAAGACUACGCUUUAUCAGAUCACACGAAAUUACUAUGGCCCUAAGUAAGUUGAGCACAGUAACGGUUACUAGAAAAUAGAAUGCAAUGCCUCCCCUUUGAGAACAGCUGUGCUUCUGGGCUCUGUCUGCCGGAGUUCUGCUUAUUACAAAUCAAAUCAUGGUUCAGGGAAUGCUAGUUAAACCCAUCUGCAACCAGCCCAGUGUCUCCAGGGUCAAGGUUUGAACCUAGAACCUCACCCAUGGCUAGCCAAGAGCACUACCCAGGAGCUCCAGCUUCAGCUCCGGCCCUAGGAAAUUCUUUUCAGAUCUACCCACUAAUGGUUUCUGCAUUAUUUUAGCUUUGGGGAGGGAGUGAUGGAGGAUUAAGGCCUGGGCCUUAUGCAUGCUGUCUACCUGCUCCACUUCUGGGCUGUGUCCAACAGCGGAGCACAAAUGCUUGGAAGACCCAUAGAACAUUAAGGCAAGGUAAAGGGCCUGACGGGGGGGGGGGGGGGUCCUCUGCCUUCCAGACAAGCCCUUGUGCUUAAAGGAAACGUAGAAGCUGGGAUUGUUGGCUCGGGUUUGGAAUCUCAGCUCUUCUGGGGAUUGAGCCAGAAGGAUUAUAACUCCAAGACCAGCUUGGGCUGCUGACUGAGUUCAAGGCCAGCCUGGGAACUUAGUGUCUCCCUAUAAAAAGUAAAAAAGAAGGCUGUAGAUUGACCCCACUGCCAAGGCACUACAAUCUAACAUACACACAGCUCUAGGUUCAACCCCUCUCCGGUACCUCCAAACAAGCCAGGAUAAUGUUUUAAAGCAUAGCAGUUCACACCGUGUAGAAAAAAUCUUAGUGUUCAUAUCAAAGGUUGUCUUGUGGAGUACCAGACUUUAAGCAAAAUGGAGGCCUGCUCAUGACAUAAUGCUAAGAAUGCCACAUUCCUUCAAGCCGUUAAGAGGGGAUAAUAAUUUUAGAAGGAUUUGGCACGAAGAAGAGCAACAACGAAUAGUUCUGGAGGACUUGGUGAUGUAGAAACGAAUCUGUGUGCUUUGCAAGUCUUACCUCAUUUAAUCCUGGUUGCAAUCUUAUAUCCCUGGCUCGAUUACUUCCGGCAAGUCAGAGGUGAGGGAACUGAGGCUGUGGUUUUAAUUAAAUGUCUGAGACAGGGAGCUGGGAAGAGGAUGUGGGAUCUACACACUGUGAUCUCAGCCCUACCCUAAAGUACUUCUGGGAAAAUGAGCCGAGAGGUGCUUUGCUCAUAUAUUCCCUGUUUGCCUUGCGGGGGGGAGGGGGGUGGCGGGGAAAUGUCCAGUGUUAUGACCAGAAGUCUGAGAAUCUGUCCCUUCUCCUGUGACUCUGUAUUAUACGCCUGGUCUAGUCAAUUUCUCACCUGUGUGUCCCACCUCUCUUUGAAGCAAAGCUGAGCUGCAUCUAGGGGGCUGGCCCUCCCAGGGGGCUGGCCUUCCCAGGGGCUGGCCCUCUGAGAAAGGCAACCUGAUUGGCUCAGGGGUAGGUUUCCGUGCACUGGAACUGCAGGGGCUUUGGCCAGGGACCCUCCCUGUCCCAUCCUCGCCCCCCAAAAAGACACUGACAGACCUAGAACUCUCCCCAAAACAGAGAGAUUAUAAAAGCAGUCGGGACAGCAUUUUUGUAGAAAGAAAGACACGGAAAAUUUUUUUCUUGAACAUCUCAGAGUCUGGGGUGUUCCGUUAGAAUCUCUUCUGCUCAGGAGCAGAUGCUUGAAAAUUCAUAAAGGAGGGCGAGCAAUCAAACAUCAAACUUGAGUAUAGAUGGUUACCUUGACACACAGUCUAACACAGCCCACACACGCACAUACACACUCUCGCAUGCGUGCUCGUGCACACACGAGUGCUUUCUCUCCUUUCAUCUAUCUCCAUCCCCAUAAGCCCACCCUCAAGAACACACAUCCCCCAACUCUUUGCAGUGGAUGGUUUGAGACCCCUUUCAUUGGCCUCCUCCAGUCCUCGUCUUUACCAGCAGUGCAGAAUCCCAAAGGACUGCCAGAUAAAAUAACCUGACUUCAUUAACUCCACCCGUUGGCGCUCGCCGGUCUUUGCUUGCAGGAUCAGGGGAGAGCUUACCUUCUUUCUGCUUCAGAGAUGUUUAGACCUGAGUGUGUCUCUCGGAGGCGUUUACUGUUUCAAACCUCUGUGAGCAUCGCGAUCAUUAAUCAGAGAGAGCGAGCUGAGCCCUGUGGAAGCUUCUUUGUGCUCCAACAUUUAUCUAUGGUAUAAUUAUAAUGAACCUAAAAGUCAUGCAUAUGCAAUUUGACAUGGAUUUGGCUCUAGUGUCUGCACAUAAGCACAGAAGACUGAUGGGCCCUGACCCUGGAUGUCAGUAACCCACCACUGAACCCUCCCCGUGUCCCAUUCCCAAGCAGAUCCAGCUCAAGCUGCCGUCACCCUUUGGACAGUGGUUCCUCAUGUCCGUUGGGGUCUUUCCUCUCCUCAUCUGUUUGUGUCUCUGCCCAUUUUCCAUCAUUGAUCAUCCUAGCUGUUAUCCCUUGUGUGGCUAGAUACUCUUGAAUCUUCUAGCUCUAACGUUUACUAUUUUUGUUGUUUUCUGAUCUUUUUCCUUCUGCUACUUUUCCCUGAAACACACUCCACCACUGCUACCACCCAACGAGCUUCUCUCUCCAAAUCACUAGUGAUGAACUAGGGGACAAUAUUUCCUAGCAGUGGAGAUCGGAUGAUCUCUGGAGGCAUCUGUUGCCGUCCUACAGGGAUAGGAAAGAUGCUUUUCUGUCAGGCAUCUUGUAGGUAGAAAUAGGAUGUUCAUGGUCUCCAGCUGUACCCAGAGCUGCCCCUUCCACACACACUGAGGAAGCUGCUAUAUGAUGUCAGUGGAGCUGAGGAAUCCUUUAAUCACCCGCUCCUCUGCCACUAUAUUCUUAUCUCCUGUUUCUGAUUCCCAGGUCUUUAAGGCUUUUCUUUGCAAGCCCUCCCUCUUAUCUCUGCUCCUGUUUAUCUGGCUCCUUUCCCUCCUGUCUAUCUUCUAGCCCCUGUCUCCCUCAGGUCCCCUUCUUGGUCUGAUCACCCCUCUGAGGUUUCUCCUUGUCUUUCUUGCCUUGGUUUUCAAGGCUUAGUUCAGCAACUCCCUUAUCUCUCUGCUGUCCUGGAGUGACCUCGGGAGCAGAGAAAAUAUUUUUCUUAGAACUCUGUUUAUUUUCCAAGUUUUCACAAAUCCAAAGCAGCCCACAAGCUCCGUGCUUCUGGUUUCGAAGUCUCAAACACCUCCCCUGGGCCUGACCUGUGCAGCUGUCCUAGCCCUGGACUCUGAUCCCCACUCCUUCUCGCCCCCUUGAUCCUUUCAGCUGUCUCUCCUCUGCUCACCUGCUGCUGGCCCCAGAGGCUGCUCCGUCUUCUUUAUGAUGUCAGUGGACAUGUGUGGUUUGCACCGAUUGACAUGGUGGUAUGAUCUCUUCUCCCACUGGGAGGCAGGGAAGCAAUAGCUUUCCCCCUGCCUUCAUUCAUUCUUUAGGAAAAGUGAAGAAGGUUGACCAGAUGCUCAGCACAGCUCAGUGUUGUAGUGACUGAAGGGAGUGAGAGAGAAAACAGUUUCUUGCUCAUUCUAAGUCUUCAUUGUCAACUUGACUGACUCUGGAGUCACCUGGGAGAUACAUUUUUUUUUUCAAUGAUGUUUCACAGAGAAGAACCACCCUGAGUGUGUGUGGCAAUAAAAGGGGGGGAUGGGAGGAAUCUGCCGAGUUGGGGCAUUCACCCAUCUCUGCUUGCUGACUGGAGACACCAUGUGACUGUCACCCUUUGUGCUCUGGGUACCACACCUUUCCUGCCGUGAUGCUUCGUACCUCAAAUACGAUAAACGAAACAACAAAAUAAACCCUUUCUUCCUUGAGUUGCUUUUGUUAAAUCAUGCCUUCCAUGGCAACCAGAAAAGGAAACUAAUAUGGAAAAUUGGACCGAAAAUUCUAGUAGAGAGAAAAAUCACAGAAAGUAACCAUGGCCACAUCAGUGCUGUCUGCAAGAGGUGAGGGAUAUGGAGCUAGGAAAAGAAAACCUCCUCUCUCUUACUUAAGUUUCAUGGUGCUGGGAAGUGCUAUGCUUGCUACCAUAGGGGAAAAGUAAUCACCAGUCUUACCCAACCAUGAACUUCAAGAGCUACUACAAUGACUGGCCCGGCAAGACAUGCUCACUGGCGCAAAUAGUGACACAAAUGUUGUGAGAGUAAACUACUUCCUGAUUAGACUUCUAGCCCACUUCAUACAAUGAAAUCCAUUGCUGAGACCAAUAUUAGGGCAAAAACGUGUGGCUAAACAGGUCAAAUACCCUAGCGAGGGAAAUAGUAACUAGAAAGAAAACUACUUUUAUUCUGCUAAAUAGACAUAGUAUAAAUCAAUUCCUUAUGGCUUGUCAUACCCAUAGAUUAAUACAUCUCUCAACCCUGACCAGAGGUUCUUCUAUUAGCAAUAGUUGAUGAUUAACACAGAGACCAGCAACUGGCCAAGGUUCAGAGGAAAGAGACUUCAGAACGUUCAGCCCUAAACAGAACACAUAUACCAUACCCCAUGCUUCCAAAGGCUCAGGGAUCAUUUCGAAAGAGAGAAUGGAAAGAGUGUGAGAGCCAGAGUGUAGAUGACUACAGGGGGAAAGUGUCUUCUGGACACAGCAAAUGAUCUUUGCAUAUGAAUUCACAGUGGUUGUGAUGAUAAGCCCAAGACUUGUGCGAGUCAGAUCAAAGCAGCAUGGAGAGGAGACAGGGCUUGAAGUCCCACUCCUAGGUAAGGAGCUAGCUUUUGCUAGCUGCUGGGAAAGGGAAAGUUAGUUUUUGUUAAGAAUGUGUAGCCCCUGCUAAGUUAACCACUCUCCAGUAGAAGGCCAUGCAUCCAAGAAUACUUGGGCAGCACAAAGUGGCCUUGGUAGAAAAAAGGGACAGGGAGUUGGGUGAAAGAAGAAGAGAGGGAUCUGGAAAGCAUUUGUGGAAGAAGCUCAAUGAAGAUACAUUGUAUAGAGUUCUCCAAGAACUAAUAGAAGGGUAUAAAAAUGAAACAAGUUACAACCAGCUUAGCAUGUAAUUAAGCAAAAUGGUUAGUUUACAGUUCUGCAAGUCAGCAGUCCAAAAUCAGUCUCAUAGGGCUAAAAUCAAGGCAUCACAGAACCAGUUCCUCCUGCAGGCUCUGGAGAAGAACCGUGGCCUCAGAAGAGUGUUUGUAAUCCAUGGCUCCUGCCUCCAUCUUUAGACGCAGCUACAGAAUAUUUUAGCUCAUCUGCCAUUUUCUUCAUUGGAUCCCUUUCUUGGCCUCCGUAUUUCCUUCCCUCUUGUUAGAAUGUUUAGAAUGACAAUGGUCCUAUCCAUGAUCCAGAAUGAUCUCCCCCACUGAAGCUUCUUGCCUUGGGGAUGUCUAGAGUCCGUUUGCUAACAAUGUGACAUAUUGGCAUGUUGUGGGGAGCUAUGCAUACCUAUUUAGAAGAUGGGAUUCAGCCUACCCCACACUUCUCAUUGGUUAGGAUAAGAAAGCAGCUUCAAAGAGUUGGUGAGCCCAGUAGAGGCUGAAAAAUAAGAUGUGCAAAGACAUGAUUCCAAGUCUGGCAAAGGCUGAGCCCCAGCUUGUUGUGGUAAGAACAUAGGGUGUGUCUGGACAGGGGUGGGGUGACGAAUGCCUAGUUGUAAAGAGACAUCUGAAACCUCUCUUGCAGACAGUAGGCAUGUCGGAUUGUUCUAGACAGACUUUGGGAGAUUCUCUAGCGCUGAACCAUGCAGACAUGCGCUAGGUAGUCUGAAACACUGGCAACUCAGAACACACAGUGAGGCCAGUCCACAGCGACAGGUGUGCACCGGCAAGACUCUUAGAACUUAACCUAGAAAAAUCCAUGCGCUAUCUAAUUAAAUUGUUACGUGGCUGAUACUUUGGAUAACAUCUGAUUCAACCAUUUGUUCAGAUUAACUUUACCUGCUUGUGUGGUGAGGCUCAUGCUAUAUUUCCUUUGUCCUACUGACCACAAGGCUGAAGGGGAAAAUAUAUUGUGGGGUUAAAACUAUAGAACAGGCUGGACAAGAAGUGAUUUGGACUAGUGCUAUGUCCAGUUAUAGAGGAUGAGAGGGGACCUAGAUAUUUUGGGGGUCAUGAAGAGGUCUAGGUGACUGAUGGACCAAAUAAGAGAAAGGCAAGGAGAGAGAAAGACACUUGCCCAGCCUUCCAUGACAGGGUACAGGGUGGGAAAGACAAGUUCCUUUUAGGUAGAGCGGCAUCUACUCCCGAGGCCUCUGUGGAGAUAGAGCCAAUGGCCUUCGAGCCCUGUAUUCAUCCCGCCCCAUUGUGCAGCUUUUCCCAUCUGAUCUGGCUUUUCAUUAUUAGAGCCUGGCGCACAUGUCCCUCGGGUGGCGCACUGGCUAGGUUUAUGUCAACUUGGUACAAGCUAGAGUCAUAGAGAGGAAGAACCCUCAAUUGAGAAACUGUCUUCAUAAGAUCCAGAUGUAAGGCAUUUGUCUUUCUUUCUUUCUCUCUCUCUUUCUUUCUUUCUUUCUUUCUUUCUUUCUUUCUUUCUUUCUUCCUUUCUUCCUUCCUUCCUUCCUUUCUCUUUCUUUCAUUUUCUUUUUAUUGAUUCUUUGUGAAUUUUACAUCAUGCACCCCAAGCCCAUUCAUCUCCUCUUCAUACCUGUCCUCUGCCUUUUCAACCUCCCCCAUCCCACCAAAAGAAAAAAAAAUCUUGUGGAAGCUGCAGUGUGUCACAGUGUGACCCACAGUGUACGGUUUUUGUCCACACUGCUUUACUUGCAAAUGAUCGUUGCAAUGAGUCAUUGGUCUGGUUCAAUGCCUCUGGCUUCUGCUACACUAUCAAUGCUAGAUCCUCACCAGGAUAUCCUCUUGCUGCCCUGUGCCAUGGAGAUCCUGCAGCUUUAGAUCUGCAGAACCAGCCCCUUCCCAAACUCCAGAAGUAGAUGGACCCGGGUAGAUGUUGGGGUGAACCAAUUCAAAACCCUGGAUUUGGGUGGGUGAUAGCUGAGCUGGUCAGUCCACCAGCUGUUCCAUGGGGCAAGAUGUCCAGCUCUGCCCAGGCUCACCCAACGCCACAGCCAGCAAGGGGCAGAGCCAGCUCUUCUACUCUCAUCCCAUGCCAGCAGGGCCAGCUCUGUUGUGCUGCCUAGAGGGGCAGGGACAGUUCCGCUCUCAUGACCUCGUGGCCAGCUCUCCCACCUGCCAUACGUAAGGAGAGCAUCUCUCCAUCAGCCAAACUAGGCUGAGCAAGCCACAAGUAGCAAGCUAGUAAGCCACUCCCCCUCCAUGACCUCUGCAUCAGCUCCUGCCUCCAGCUUCCUGCCCUAAAUGAGUUUCUGCCUUCACUGCUUUUGAUGAUGAACUGUGAGCAAAAUAAACCCUUUCCUCCCCAAA
Molecule: non-coding RNA, 13154 nt
Organism: Rattus norvegicus (Norway rat)
Lineage: Eukaryota; Metazoa; Chordata; Mammalia; Rodentia; Muridae
Source: RefSeq, a predicted model, not a curated record